Odocoileus virginianus texanus is the source of this 958-nucleotide non-coding RNA. NCBI's taxonomy places the organism in Eukaryota, Metazoa, Chordata, Mammalia, Artiodactyla, Cervidae. The record is from RefSeq and is a predicted model, not a curated record.
AAUUAAUCGCAAUCUUGGUCCCCGGAGGGAGAGGAACCUCUCUGAAGGAAGGUUGUAGCGCUACCUUCAGGCUGGUUUUGUGGCGCUGGAUAAGAAAACAGAUUGGCCUGGGCUAAAGUAUCAAAAGAUCCUAGGAUUGCAGGAGGUCAACAGUCUCCACUGGAGAAAAAAAUAUUGAAUCUAGGUGGCGUACAUACAUCAGAAGCAAAACAACUGAUAAUUCAAAAAUAUCAAGAGGAGUAUGAAAUACGCUGUAGGGAGCAAGGGCUUUCCCUUGACUACUGGCUUGCCAAAGCAGAGUCUUAUUAUAAUAAAAGAAUAAUGGAAAUGGUGAAAGAACAAGAGAAAGGCAGUGAAAUCAAGAAGAGAUUGGAGGGAAAAACAACCCAAAGCAUAGAGAGACAAAAACGGUUUUAUUUGCUACCCGAGAGAGAAAUGAAACACAUAGAAAGGCACAUACAUCGAGGUGGACAGGUCAGAGAGUUUAAGAGUAAAACAUUUAAAAAAUCAACACCACACUCUAGUGAAAUAAAAUUUCCCAGAAUUGUGCCGGAAGAACAUGGCAUUCAGAACACACAGAGAAGAAAGCAGGUAAAUGAGAGAGAACAGAUACAGAUUAAAGAUCACCGGGAACGCAUGAUUCGAGGGAGAGAACUUGUAGAGCAAAAACUCAAGGAAAGAAUCUUGAGAAAAGACCAGAGUCAGCCUCCUGUUCCUGAGAAGUGUGAGAGCAUAAAGAGCAUAAAGAAAGAGAUAAAAGAGUAUGAAAGUGUUAUUGCAUACCCACUUUUCCAGCCAUGCGGUAGCAGUCGGAUUAAAGUGAAUGUUCUGAUGGAAAAGUCUCAGAAUAGAGAAGAAAACAACACAAUGAUCAAGCCACUUCAAAGAAGAUUCUUAACUAUGCCACCCUUUUUGAGAAGUCAAAUAGGAAAAAUAAAAGAUUCAGUGCUUUCAUGAU